GACGAACGCUGGCGGCGUGCUUAACACAUGCAAGUCAAGGAGAAAAUAGCCUUCGGGUUAUAAGUAAACUGGCGGACGGGUGAGUAACGCGUAGGCAACCUGCCCUUGUGAUUGGGAUAACUCCGAGAAAUCGGGGCUAAUACCGAAUGAAGUUAUUAUUUUGCAUGAGAUAAUAAUUAAAGGUGUCGCAAGUUACCGCACAGGGAUGGGCCUGCGUUCCAUUAGUUAGAUGGUGAGGUAACGGCUUACCAUGGCAGCGAUGGAUAGCUGAUCUGAGAGGGUGAUCAGCCACACUGGGACUGAGAUACGGCCCAGACUCCUACGGGAGGCUG
RNAcentral lists this ribosomal RNA (332 nucleotides) under uncultured Deferribacteres bacterium. Its description in RNAcentral is "bacterial SSU rRNA". It matches the Rfam family "Bacterial small subunit ribosomal RNA", at positions 28 to 351 of the family's 1533-position model. The record is from RNAcentral. Lineage: Bacteria; Pseudomonadati; Deferribacterota; Deferribacteres.